RNAcentral lists this ribosomal RNA (433 nucleotides) under uncultured bacterium. RNAcentral's name for it is "partial 16S ribosomal RNA". It matches the Rfam family "Bacterial small subunit ribosomal RNA", at positions 29 to 507 of the family's 1533-position model. The record is from RNAcentral.
AACGAACGCUGGCGGCAUGCCUAACACAUGCAAGUCGAACGAACCCUUCGGGGUUAGUGGCGCACGGGUGCGUAACGCGUGGGAAUCUGCCCUUUGCUUCGGAAUAACUCAGGGAAACUUGUGCUAAUACCGGGUGAUGUCUUCGGACCAAAGAUUUAUCGGCAAGGGAUGAGCCCGCGUAGGAUUAGGUAGUUGGUGGGGUAAAGGCCUACCAAGCCGACGAUCCUUAGCUGGUCUGAGAGGAUGAUCAGCCACACUGGGACUGAGACACGGCCCAGACUCCUACGGGAAGCAGCAGUGGGGAAUAUUGGACAAUGGGCGCAAGCCUGAUCCAGCAAUGCCGCGUGAGUGAUGAAGGCCCUCGGGUCGUAAAGCUCUUUUACCAGGGAUGAUAAUGACAGUACCUGGAGAAUAAGCUCCGGCUAACUCCGUG